RNAcentral lists this ribosomal RNA (426 nucleotides) under uncultured bacterium. RNAcentral's name for it is "bacterial SSU rRNA". It matches the Rfam family "Bacterial small subunit ribosomal RNA", at positions 28 to 453 of the family's 1533-position model. The record is from RNAcentral.
GAUGAACGCUAGCGGCAGGCUUAACACAUGCAAGUCGAGGGGUAUAGUUCUUCGGAAUUAGAGACCGGCGCACGGGUGCGUAACGCGUAUGCAAUCUACCUUUCACAGAGGGAUAGCCCCAGAGAAAUUUGGAUUAAUACCUCAUAGUAUAGCAGUUUCGCAUGAAACCACUAUUAAAGUCACAACGGUGAAAGAUGAGCAUGCGUCCCAUUAGCUAGUUGGUAAGGUAACGGCUUACCAAGGCAACGAUGGGUAGGGGUCCUGAGAGGGAGAUCCCCCACACUGGUACUGAGACACGGACCAGACUCCUACGGGAGGCAGCAGUGAGGAAUAUUGGACAAUGGGCGCAAAGCCUGAUCCAGCCAUGCCGCGUGCAGGAUGACGGUCUAUGGAUUGUAAACUGCUUUUUAUACAGGGAAGAAAACA